GAAAUAACUUAAAUAGAACUUCUAAUUCUAUAAUCAAUAUAAAUAUAUUAUUAUUUCU
RNAcentral lists this transfer RNA (58 nucleotides) under Osmia excavata. Its description in RNAcentral is "tRNA-Ser". Lineage: Eukaryota; Metazoa; Arthropoda; Insecta; Hymenoptera; Megachilidae. The record is from RNAcentral.